Molecule: transfer RNA, 70 nt
Filed under: Purpura persica
Lineage: Eukaryota; Metazoa; Mollusca; Gastropoda; Neogastropoda; Muricidae
Description: tRNA-Pro
Rfam family: tRNA
About the family: Transfer RNA (tRNA) molecules are approximately 80 nucleotides in length. Their secondary structure includes four short double-helical elements and three loops (D, anti-codon, and T loops).
Source: RNAcentral
UCGAAAAUGUAGUUUAAUUAAAACAUUAGCAUUGGAAGCUAAAGAUUAGGUAUUAAUCCUACAUUUCGAA